RNAcentral lists this ribosomal RNA (321 nucleotides) under uncultured bacterium. Its description in RNAcentral is "bacterial SSU rRNA". It matches the Rfam family "Bacterial small subunit ribosomal RNA", at positions 477 to 793 of the family's 1533-position model. The record is from RNAcentral.
AGCAACAGAAGAAGCACCGGCUAACUCCGUGCCAGCAGCCGCGGUAAUACGGAGGGUGCGAGCGUUAAUCGGAAUUACUGGGCGUAAAGCGCAUGCAGGUGGUUGUUAAGUCAGAUGUGAAAGACCCGGGCCGUCAACCUCGGAACUGCAUUUGAAACUGGCAGACUAGAGUACUGUAGAGGGGGUAGAAUUUCAGGUGUAGCGGUGAAAUGCGUAGAGAUCUGAAGGAAUACCCGGUGGCGAAGGACGGCCCCCUCGGACAGAUACUGACACUCAGAUGCGAAAGCGUGGGGAGCAAACAGGAUUAGAUACCCCUGGUAG